This 78-nucleotide transfer RNA is filed under the name Podospora anserina S mat+. RNAcentral's name for it is "tRNA-Ser (TGA) (tRNA-Ser-TGA-3-1)". The record is from RNAcentral. Lineage: Eukaryota; Fungi; Ascomycota; Sordariomycetes; Sordariales; Podosporaceae.
GCCUGUGUGGUGUAGUGGUUUUCAUUCCAUGAGGUAAUUUGAACUCAUGGGGCUCAGGCUCGAUUCCUGGCGCGGGCA